RNAcentral lists this ribosomal RNA (351 nucleotides) under uncultured eukaryote. RNAcentral's name for it is "SSU rRNA". It matches the Rfam family "Eukaryotic small subunit ribosomal RNA", at positions 21 to 370 of the family's 1831-position model. The record is from RNAcentral.
UGUAGUCAUAUGCUUGUCUCAAAGAUUAAGCCAUGCAUGUCUAAGUAUAAAAGUAUUCUAUACUUGAAACUGCGAAUAGCUCAUUAAAUCAGUUAUAGUUUAUUUGAUGGUGCCUUACUACAUGGAUACCCGUAGUAAUUCUAGAGCUAAUACAUGCCAAAAAAACCCAACCGCAAGGGCGGGUUGUAUUUAUUAGAUAAAAACCAUUACUCGCAAGAGUUUUUGUGGUGAUUCAUAAUAACUGUUCGAAUCGCAUGCCGCAAGGCGGCGAUAGAUCAUUCAAAUUUCUGCCCUAUCAGCUCUCGACGGUAGUGUAGUGGACUACCGUGGCAUCAACGGGUAACGGGGAAU